GACGAACGCUGGCGGCGUGCCUAACACAUGCAAGUCGAACGGAGAUACGAUUUCGGUUGUAUCUUAGUGGCGAACGGGUGAGUAACGCGUGAGCAACCUGACCUUUAGAGGGGGAUAACACUUGGAAACAGGUGCUAAUACCGCAUAAGACCACGACCCGACAUCGGGAUGAGGUCAAAGGAGAAAGCGGCUAAAGGAGGGGCUCGCGUCCCGUGCGAUAGAUGGCGGGGUAACGGCCCACCAUGUCGACGAUGGGUAGCCGAGCUGAGAGGCUGAUCGGCCACACUGGAACUGAGACACGGUCCAGACUCCUACGGGGGGCAGCAGUGGGGAAUAUUGGGCAAUGGGCGCAAACCUGACCCAGCAACGCCGCGUGAGGGAAGAAGGUCUUCGGAUUGUAAACCUCUGUCCUUGGUGACGAAACAAAUGACGGUAGCCAAGGAGGAAGCCCCGGCUAACUACGUGCCAGCAGCCGCCGCAG
Molecule: ribosomal RNA, 481 nt
Filed under: uncultured bacterium
Lineage: Bacteria
Description: partial 16S ribosomal RNA
Rfam family: Bacterial small subunit ribosomal RNA
Source: RNAcentral